CCACGAGAUCCAUUACCGGACCUGUUCUUCUUGAGUAGCAGCAGCGAUACGAGGAGGACGAGAAUGGAGAAGAGGAAGGAGGUGCUGGUGAGAUCCAUGGUUUAAUUAGUUUUCUGGUGAUGAGGCACCACAGGCCCGUCCACCCUUCUUAUACACAUGACAGUUACGAGUUUCGCAUGCAGCUUCCCGGUUGUUGAGUACUGACAGACGAUACCAUAUCAUCUGGGUCAAAGUCUCGAUAGUACAACAAACAAAAUAAUGG
Molecule: long non-coding RNA, 262 nt
Filed under: Musa acuminata (dwarf banana)
Lineage: Eukaryota; Viridiplantae; Streptophyta; Magnoliopsida; Zingiberales; Musaceae
Description: long non-coding RNA (MACU_LNC007080)
Source: RNAcentral